GACGAACGCUGGCGGCGUGCUUAACACAUGCAAGUCGAACGAUGAAGCUAGAGCUUGCUCUGGUGAAUUAGUGGCGAACGGGUGAGUAACACGUGAGUAACCUGCCCCGAACUCUGGGAUAACUGCUGGAAACGGUAGCUAAUACUGGAUACGACCUACGAAGGCAUCUUCUGUAGGUGGAAAGAAUUUCGGUUCGAGAUGGACUCGCGGCCUAUCAGCUUGUUGGUGAGGUAAUGGCUCACCAAGGCGACGACGGGUAGCCGGCCUGAGAGGGUGACCGGCCACGCUGGGACUGAGACACGGCCCAGACUCCUACGGGAGGCAGCAGUGGGGAAUAUUGCACAAUGGGCGCAAGCCUGAUGCAGCAACGCCGCGUGAGGGAUGACGGCCUUCGGGUUGUAAACCUCUUUUAGUAGGGAAGAAGCGAAAGUGACGGUACCUGCAGAAAAAGCACCGGCUAACUACGUGCCAGCAGCCGCCGUAA
Molecule: ribosomal RNA, 484 nt
Filed under: uncultured bacterium
Lineage: Bacteria
Description: partial 16S ribosomal RNA
Rfam family: Bacterial small subunit ribosomal RNA
Source: RNAcentral